CAGCAGCCGCGGUAAAACGGAGGGUGCAAGCGUUAUCCGGAUUUAUUGGGUUUAAAGGGUCCGUAGGCGGACUUAUAAGUCAGUGGUGAAAGCCUGUCGCUUAACGAUAGAACUGCCAUUGAUACUGUAAGUCUUGAGUAUAUUUGAGGUAGCUGGAAUAAGUAGUGUAGCGGUGAAAUGCAUAGAUAUUACUUAGAACACCAAUUGCGAAGGCAGGUUACCAAGAUAUAACUGACGCUGAGGGACGAAAGCGUGGGUAGCGAACAGGAUUAGAUACCCCAGUAGUCCCUGUCUCUCAUAC
Molecule: ribosomal RNA, 301 nt
Filed under: uncultured bacterium
Lineage: Bacteria
Description: partial 16S ribosomal RNA
Rfam family: Bacterial small subunit ribosomal RNA
Source: RNAcentral